CUGAUAAUAACCGAUGUAAAUAAUGAAAGCAGAACAGAAAGCUUAAUACAAUUAUUCGGAAUUAUUGAAAAAAAUGAAUUACAUAUUUGUUUCAUCUGAAAGGAAUGGAAAUAUAUCUCUGAUAAAUGUGUGUUCUGAUUUACGAAAUGAAUGCAUUCUUUUAUAAUUGUAUUGUGUUGUAAAGGCAUUGACCGAAGCAUAUUCUGAGUGCCCACGGUCAACGUUUUUACAACACGAUCAACACUUACAC
This 250-nucleotide long non-coding RNA is filed under the name Mytilus galloprovincialis (Mediterranean mussel). The record is from RNAcentral. Lineage: Eukaryota; Metazoa; Mollusca; Bivalvia; Mytilida; Mytilidae.